GCGGCAAUAGUUCAGUGGCAGAACCCCCGCUUUGCAUGCGGGGAGACCUGGGUUCGGUUCCUAGUUGCUUCC
This 72-nucleotide transfer RNA is filed under the name Toxocara canis (dog roundworm). It matches the Rfam family "tRNA". Rfam says of the family: Transfer RNA (tRNA) molecules are approximately 80 nucleotides in length. Lineage: Eukaryota; Metazoa; Nematoda; Chromadorea; Rhabditida; Toxocaridae. The record is from Rfam by way of RNAcentral.